RNAcentral lists this ribosomal RNA (550 nucleotides) under uncultured bacterium. RNAcentral describes it as "bacterial SSU rRNA". It matches the Rfam family "Bacterial small subunit ribosomal RNA", at positions 355 to 896 of the family's 1533-position model. The record is from RNAcentral.
UAGGGAAUCUUCGGCAAUGGACGGAAGUCUGACCGAGCAACGCCGCGUGAGUGAAGAAGGUUUUCGGAUCGUAAAGCUCUGUUGUAAGAGAAGAACGAGUGUGAGAGUGGAAAGUUCACACUGUGACGGUAUCUUACCAGAAAGGGACGGCUAACUACGUGCCAGUAGCCGCGGUAAUACGUAGGUCCCGAGCGUUGUCCGGAUUUAUUGGGCGUAAAGCGAGCGCAGGCGGUUAGAUAAGUCUGAAGUUAAAGGCUGUGGCUUAACCAUAGUAGGCUUUGGAAACUGUUUAACUUGAGUGCAAGAGGGGAGAGUGGAAUUCCAUGUGUAGCGGUGAAAUGCGUAGAUAUAUGGAGGAACACCGGUGGCGAAAGCGGCUCUCUGGCUUGUAACUGACGCUGAGGCUCGAAAGCGUGGGGAGCAAACAGGAUUAGAUACCCUGGUAGUCCACGCUGUAAACGAUGAGUGCUAGGUGUUAGACCCUUUCCGGGGUUUAGUGCCGUAGCUAACGCAUUAAGCACUCCGCCUGGGGAGUACGACCGCAAGGUUG